UCGUUUUAUGCUGUUUUUAAAACUUCUGGAAAGGUGGGUUUGGGUUUUUAUUUUGAUUUGGGUUGUUGUUUGUUUGUUGUUCUGGUGUUUUUAACCCAGUUGAAGUCUUGGAUUGCUUCUUUUGGUUUCUCUGAGGCAGUUAGUGUAAGACAACUGAAGUGCACCUAGGUCCUGUGAUGUUGAAACAUGUUUUUAAAUAGGUUGAUACAGGAGAUUUCAAGUUGAUUCUGCAAAUUUUAUCAAGAAUGGCAAUUUAAAUGGUGCGUAUUUCAUAUUGUAACCUUUCAUGAGGCACAUCGUUGCAGCGGAAUAUACAUUGGAUGCUAGUUCAUUUGUAGGAGUGGUUUGUUUCUUCAGUGGCAAGUGAAAUCCUGCCUGACCUUGAGCCACAUCUAAUCUACAUAGACCUCAUCUUUUCUCCACUGUACAGGGGUUUGAGAUGCAGUAGUUGAAAGAGCUGUGUAAGAAAAGGGGGGAAAAUUCUCAGGGCAGCAUGUUGAUAACAAAUUGUGUGUUCAUUGACAAGCAACACGUAAACAAGCUUUCAAGUUUUAAAUCACCUGAAAAGAGAAGAAAGCUCUUGCGGAGUCACCAGUUUAGUGAAAUGAAAAAUAAGGACUAGAUUUUGCCACUUACUGUGAAUGUACGUAUCUUACUUCUAGAGUGUAUUUCUGUAGGUCAGCAAGAUGGAUUCUUUGAGGUCAGCUGCAGUAUUCCAGAAGCUUGAUGUCACGAGUGCAUUCACUCAGGAUGGUACUUCAGGAGCUCUUCAGUUUGGACAUGCAUUUUCUAUUCCUGCACAUGACUGGGGUCAGAGCCCAGGCCUUUUCAGAUACUGGGAGCAGAGAAAUCUGGAGUCGAGUCUUGAGUGUGCUACGAACAUCCUGUCUACUUUUGAGGAACCCAAUCACUUCUGUUUUCUGUUUCUCAGUUAGUUGCAGGGCAAAGGUGGAUAAUUUGUGUACCCCCCAGGACAGAGUUCCCGUGGCUCACGAGCCAGCUGCAGUGCUGAGCCCUGCUGCAACGCAGAGUGCAGGAGCCUUUUCAUAUUUACUGCAUCUGGGGUGCGGAGCUAGAAGCUUUUGCUGUGAAUUCUCGAGUCCUCGGGGAGGUUGCUGGGAUGUCUACCUUUCCCUGUGCAGCUCCUGUGCCCAUUCCAGAUGCCCUCCUAUGGGGGAAGGAGUGGAGCUAUGGCAAGAGAGGCUACAGCAGUUCUUUUUAACCGGAGAGUGUGUGUGUGCACAUGGAAAGCUUUUGCAGAAUAGUGUGUUCCACACCGGGGACCUCACCUGGCCAAGUGACGUGUGUGUUCAGCUUGGGAGUGCUGUUUUAAGAUGUUGCCUUGAGUUAAAUGCAUCAUAAUCACCCUGAAGUGUGCUGGGGACAUGGGCUCUGGUGUCUCUAGAGAUAGAUGCUGAUGUAGAAUGGCCAGUGCUGUGUGUGCAUGCAUGUGGAGUGGGUGUGGGGGUGUUCGUUUGUGCUCUGUGUGACUGAGAGCUGCAGGGCUCAAGCUGUGCUUGUUCCAGAGGCGCUGGUGGACAUUGUGCUGACAACUGUGCAGCUCAACUCCUCUCUCUGUGGGAGCAGUCACCUCCCAGUGCUUCUGGGAGCCUACAGGGCCACGCUGAGCGCCGCAGGUCAGAAGAUACUACUGGUGCUUCAGUUGUAUGAGAAGAAUAAUCCAAGUCUUAUAAACUCCAGGAUCCUACUGUGAGGUCCAGUCGCUGUGGAGCAUCACAAGACUUGCAGAGUCUGGGCAAGUCCCUGUGGCAACAGCCAAGCACGGAGGAGAUUCUGUGUCUACUGGAUCGAGAGAAGCUGAUGGAGACGAUUCUGUCGUUCGCUCAGCAUCCCCGGCUGCUGUCACCACAGGUGAUACAAGAGUCACUAUAUAAAGAUGAAACAGUCAAGAGCCUUGAUGACUUCUAUGAUCCUUGUUUUCUACUUCAGCUCUUCAGUGAAUUGGCCAGACCAGGUUCAGCUUGACUUGUGCUCAAAGACAGGGAUGACUCCAUGCCAUAUGUGGUGAAUUGUUAUUUUGGAGGGGGAUUUGCAAGUUUAGGGCUAAAAUAUGGUGUGUAAGAAAAGACUUUUUUUGUAGCAUUAGAUAAAUGCUUUUGCAUGAGGUGUUGAAGGUCAGUUGUUUUACCAGUUCAAAGGGAGAAAACCAAACCAGGUUGACGGUGACACUCCUUUCAGCAAGGCUUGGUAUAUAUUUGAGCAAUUAUUUCUGUUAAUGCUGCUUUUGGUUGUGUUUGGUUUGCCAUGCAUUUGACUCAUUGUCAGUGUUUCUCAUACAGUAGGAGUGUUCCUCCUACUGAGUGUUUUCCACUCAAAGCAAGCAAUUGUGGUAUAAAGCAAGAAUAAUCUCAAAAAGUGGUUUGCGGUUUUGUUUUGGAUUUGGCUUUGGAUUUUUUUUUUAAUUUUUUUUUUACCCAACACUCUUUAACUUUACUACUGUGAGUUUUCUAGUUUUCUCCAAAAACUUGGCAUGAAUUUCCCCUUUCUGUCCCAUUGGUAGAUACUGUUUCUCUUAGAAAAGCUUCUACCCUCCACCUUCACUGCCCUGUUUUGAAGCAGUGCUCCAGUUUAGCCUGCAGCGAUGGCUCUUGCAUCCUUUUCCAUUCAGGUAAUUAAAACCUGAAGUAAAACUAACACUUUGUUGUUGCCAUACCUGCCACAGGAGCUCACAUUACUGCAGUGUAAUUUGUGAGGCAGUUGAGAGGAGAGGGAAGGACUGGGCCAGAGUUCCUAAGGAACUCAGAAUUUCAG
Catharus ustulatus (Swainson's thrush) is the source of this 2772-nucleotide long non-coding RNA. RefSeq lists it as uncharacterized. The transcript has 5 exons. The record is from RefSeq and is a predicted model, not a curated record. NCBI's taxonomy places the organism in Eukaryota, Metazoa, Chordata, Aves, Passeriformes, Turdidae.